This is a non-coding RNA of Elgaria multicarinata webbii, 1247 nucleotides long. The record is from the annotation of a RefSeq genome assembly. Lineage: Eukaryota; Metazoa; Chordata; Lepidosauria; Squamata; Anguidae.
GCAGCAGCGAGAGCGAGGAGGAAGCGCGCAGGGAGUUUUUGUCGCGUCCCCUCCGGCUGUGUCAGUACAGCGCACGGUGGUUUAAGGCGCCUCCAAUACUCGACGGGCGGAGAAGGCGCGGAGGGGGCAGCGGAGGGGCCCGCGGACCGGAGGGGCGAGCCCUGGGAGGAGCCCCCGGUGCGGGACGACGCUGUCGGAGGGUGGGAGAGGGACUUGGCAGCCCCCACACCAGGGCGAGGCGCCGCCCGGUCCCGGUCCCUGGACAGACCUCAGCGGCCCUGGAGCCCUCCAGCGACGGGUUCUCGGCUGCCUUUGGACGGAAGCCCCUGCACGCUAGGCGCCCCCGGCCAUGGGACGGUAGGGCGCUCGAGGGGCGACGCAGGAGCCUCUCUAACGGGCCGGGAGCAGCCGGGGAGAUUUUGCAAGGGCCCUCCGUGGGGUGGCACCGCCGUGAGCCCAAGCCUUCUUCGCCGAGCAAGCCACGCAGGUCAUCGUGGAGGAUCCAAAAUGCAACAAGAAGCAGCAAGCACCGAGCACCCUUCUCAUGGGCCCCACGUGCCAUAAGGACAACAUCAUACUCGUGUGCCUGGCUCAGGGCUUCUUCUACAAGUGGCCAAUCGAUGUGACCUGGACACGCGAUGACAAAAAGGUGGAGGGCUUAGCCUUUGCCACGCAGCAGCCCCAGGACCAGGGCACAUGCAGCUUCAGCAUCACCAGUCGCCUGCGUGUUGCAGCUUCAGAAUGGAGGGAGGGCCACAAAUAUGCAUGCCACGUGAUGCAAGGCAUCGGCUCACAGGCAAAUGACUCAGUGACAAGUGAACGGAUUGUGCAGUCAAAAUCUUUGGGGUCCUUUAAGAUUCAGCUUAGUCUUCGUGCAGGGCAGCUCAUUUUCCUGCUCCUGGCUGCCAAGAGCUUGGCCUAUGGCACCAUUCUGGGGAUCUACACAGCACAUAAGAAAACAGGUUUCUAAUGAGGCUGCUGAAAGGCUGUACUUCCCCUUGCUGGCAUGAUCCCCAGAGCAGCAUUAGCUCCCUCUGCAGCUAUAAAAUGUAUUUGCUUAUAGCUGGAGGCCAUUCCCAUUGAGGAUCCAUACAUGGUGCCCUGAAGUUUUCAUAUCAUCCCUUCUUGGCCAAUCUGGAUUGGUUACGCGACAGACUUUGCGCUGAAUUGCUCUUUGCCUUAGAGCAAAUGCCAACCCUAAUUUCCCGAGUAACAAUAAAAAAUAAAUAAAUUUUCUGAUCUCCUGA